AUGACUUGGGAGGGUUCCGGUCACCCCUACCCGGGCAGACAACCUCCCUCAUUCACAUCAGAAAUGGCAAAGAUUCCAUUUUGGAAAGUCAAUCUCUUUUUGUAUAGAUAUAAAAUAGCAAAAGUACGGUUCGGAGUCUUUUCUUUCUUAUUUGAAAUCCAAAUCGAAAUGCCUCAACUUGAUAAAUUAACUUAUUUCUCACAAUUUUUCUGGUUAUGUCUUCUCCUCUUUACUUUUUAUAUUCUCUUAUUUAAUAAUAAUAAUGGAAUACUUGGAAUUAGUAGAAUUCUCAAACUACGGAACCAACUGCUUUCGCGCCGGGGGGGCGAGAUCCAGAGCAAGGACCCUAAGAAUCUGGAAGAUAUCUUGAGAAAAGGUUUUAGCACCGGUCUCUCAUAUAUGUACUCUAGUUUAUCCGAAGUAUCCCAAUGGUGUAAGACCGUCGACUAUUUGGGAAAAAGGAGGAAAAUCACUCUGAUCUCUGAUUUCGGAGAAAUAAGUGGCUCACGAGGAAUGGAGAGACAGAUUCUCUAUUUGAUCUCGAAGUCCUCAUAUAACACUUCUUCCAGUCGGAUCACUUGUUGGAAAAACAUAAUGCUCACACAUGUUCCACACGGGCAAGGAAGCAUAGUAUUAUGA
Molecule: ribosomal RNA, 639 nt
Filed under: Triticum aestivum (bread wheat)
Lineage: Eukaryota; Viridiplantae; Streptophyta; Magnoliopsida; Poales; Poaceae
Description: partial small subunit ribosomal RNA
Source: RNAcentral